This 463-nucleotide ribosomal RNA is filed under the name uncultured bacterium. RNAcentral's name for it is "bacterial SSU rRNA". It matches the Rfam family "Bacterial small subunit ribosomal RNA", at positions 28 to 489 of the family's 1533-position model. The record is from RNAcentral.
GAUGAACGCUAGCGGCAGGCCUAAUACAUGCAAGUCGAACGAUACCAGAGAGCUUGCUUUCUGGGAAAGUGGCGCACGGGUGCGUAACGCGUAUGCAACCUACCUUAAUCAGGGGGAUAGCCUCUCGAAAGAGAGAUUAACACCGCAUAAAAUCACACUUCGGCAUCGAAGAAUGAUCAAAUAUUUAUAGGAUUAAGAUGGGCAUGCGUGACAUUAGCUAGUUGGUAAGGUAACGGCUUACCAAGGCUACGAUGUCUAGGGGAUCUGAGAGGAUGACCCCCCACACUGGUACUGAGACACGGCCCAGACUCCUACGGGAGGCAGCAGUAAGGAAUAUGGUCAAUGGAGGCAACUCUGAACCAGCCAUGCCGCGUGCAGGAUGAAGGCCCUAUGGGUCGUAAACUGCUUUUAUACCAGAGAAAACCCUUCCACGUGUGGGAGGUUGAUAGUAUGGUAAGAAUAA